GACGAACGCUGGCGGUGUGCUUAACACAUGCAAGUCGAACGGUAAGGCCCUUUCGGGGGUACACGAGUGGCGAACGGGUGAGUAACACGUGAGUAACCUGCCCUCAUCUCUGGGAUAACAGUCGGAAACGGUUGCUAAUACUGGAUAUGAGCUUGCAAGGCAUCUUGUGGGUUGGAAAGAUUUUUUUGGUUGGGGAUGGACUCGCGGCCUAUCAGCUUGUUGGUGAGGUAGUGGCUCACCAAGGCUUCGACAGGUAGCCGGCCUGAGAGGGCGACCGGCCACAUUGGGACUGAGAUACGGCCCAAACUCCUACGGGAGGCAGCAGUGGGGAAUAUUGCACAAUGGACGGAAGUCUGAUGCAGCAACGCCGCGUGCGGGAUGACGGCCUUCGGGUUGUAAACCGCUUUCAAUUGUGACGAAGCUUUUUGUGACGGUAGCAGUAGAAGAAGCACCGGCUAACUACGUG
This 466-nucleotide ribosomal RNA is filed under the name uncultured bacterium. RNAcentral describes it as "partial 16S ribosomal RNA". It matches the Rfam family "Bacterial small subunit ribosomal RNA", at positions 28 to 507 of the family's 1533-position model. The record is from RNAcentral.